RNAcentral lists this non-coding RNA (29 nucleotides) under Mus musculus (house mouse). Lineage: Eukaryota; Metazoa; Chordata; Mammalia; Rodentia; Muridae. The record is from RNAcentral.
UAUAAAUUCCCACAUGAUUUCAGUUUGUC